GUGGGUGUAGCUCAGCUGGUAGAGCGUCGGCUUGUGGUGCCGAAUGUCGCGGGUUCGAGUCCCGUCAUCCACCCCA
RNAcentral lists this transfer RNA (76 nucleotides) under candidate division WWE3 bacterium CG_4_10_14_0_2_um_filter_41_14. RNAcentral describes it as "tRNA-His". It matches the Rfam family "tRNA". Rfam says of the family: Transfer RNA (tRNA) molecules are approximately 80 nucleotides in length. RNAcentral also lists the same sequence under 1 other name. Lineage: Bacteria; candidate division WWE3. The record is from RNAcentral.